AAAUCUGGCUCUUUUAGAGUCCGAGUUGUAAUUUGCAGAGGGCGCUUUGGCUUUGGCAGCGGUCCAAGUUCCUUGGAACAGGACGUCACAGAGGGUGAGAAUCCCGUACGUGGUCGCUGGCUAUUGCCGUGUAAAGCCCCUUCGACGAGUCGAGUUGUUUGGGAAUGCAGCUCUAAAUGGGAGGUACAUUUCUUCUAAAGCUAAAUAUUGGCCAGAGACCGAUAGCGCACAAGUAGAGUGAUCGAAAGAUGAAAAGCACUUUGGAAAGAGAGUCAAACAGCACGUGAAAUUGUUGAAAGGGAAGCGCUUGCAGCCAGACUUGCUUACAGUUGCUCAUCCGGGUUUCUACCCGGUGCACUCUUCUGUAGGCAGGCCAGCAUCAGUUUGGGCGGUAGGAUAAAGGUCUCUGUCACGUACCUCCUUUCGGGGAGGCCUUAUAGGGGAGACGACAUACUACCAGCCUGGACUGAGGUCCGCGCAUCUGCUAGGAUGCUGGCGUAAUGGCUGUAAGCGGCCCGUCUUGAAA
RNAcentral lists this ribosomal RNA (526 nucleotides) under Alternaria angustiovoidea. RNAcentral describes it as "partial large subunit ribosomal RNA". It matches the Rfam family "Eukaryotic large subunit ribosomal RNA", at positions 118 to 659 of the family's 3401-position model. Lineage: Eukaryota; Fungi; Ascomycota; Dothideomycetes; Pleosporales; Pleosporaceae. The record is from RNAcentral.